Molecule: ribosomal RNA, 1009 nt
Filed under: Vibrio sp. 757M
Lineage: Bacteria; Pseudomonadati; Pseudomonadota; Gammaproteobacteria; Vibrionales; Vibrionaceae
Description: bacterial SSU rRNA
Rfam family: Bacterial small subunit ribosomal RNA
Source: RNAcentral
GCCAUGCCGCGUGUGUGAAGAAGGCCUUCGGGUUGUAAAGCACUUUCAGUCGUGAGGAAGGUGGUGUAGUUAAUAGCUGCAUCAUUUGACGUUAGCGACAGAAGAAGCACCGGCUAACUCCGUGCCAGCAGCCGCGGUAAUACGGAGGGUGCGAGCGUUAAUCGGAAUUACUGGGCGUAAAGCGCAUGCAGGUGGUUUGUUAAGUCAGAUGUGAAAGCCCGGGGCUCAACCUCGGAAUAGCAUUUGAAACUGGCAGACUAGAGUACUGUAGAGGGGGGUAGAAUUUCAGGUGUAGCGGUGAAAUGCGUAGAGAUCUGAAGGAAUACCGGUGGCGAAGGCGGCCCCCUGGACAGAUACUGACACUCAGAUGCGAAAGCGUGGGGAGCAAACAGGAUUAGAUACCCUGGUAGUCCACGCCGUAAACGAUGUCUACUUGGAGGUUGUGGCCUUGAGCCGUGGCUUUCGGAGCUAACGCGUUAAGUAGACCGCCUGGGGAGUACGGUCGCAAGAUUAAAACUCAAAUGAAUUGACGGGGGCCCGCACAAGCGGUGGAGCAUGUGGUUUAAUUCGAUGCAACGCGAAGAACCUUACCUACUCUUGACAUCCAGAGAACUUUCCAGAGAUGGAUUGGUGCCUUCGGGAACUCUGAGACAGGUGCUGCAUGGCUGUCGUCAGCUCGUGUUGUGAAAUGUUGGGUUAAGUCCCGCAACGAGCGCAACCCUUAUCCUUGUUUGCCAGCGAGUAAUGUCGGGAACUCCAGGGAGACUGCCGGUGAUAAACCGGAGGAAGGUGGGGACGACGUCAAGUCAUCAUGGCCCUUACGAGUAGGGCUACACACGUGCUACAAUGGCGCAUACAGAGGGCAGCAAGCUAGCGAUAGUGAGCGAAUCCCAAAAAAGUGCGUCGUAAUCCGGAUUGGGAGUCUGGCAACUCGACUCCAUGGAAGUCGGAAUCCGCUAGUAAUCGGGGGAUCAAAAUUGCCACGGGUGAAUACCGUUCCCGGGGCCUU